This is a long non-coding RNA of Lotus japonicus, 446 nucleotides long. RefSeq lists it as uncharacterized. The record is from RefSeq and is a predicted model, not a curated record. The transcript is spliced from 2 exons. Lineage: Eukaryota; Viridiplantae; Streptophyta; Magnoliopsida; Fabales; Fabaceae.
CUUGAACACUUCUGAAACACGUAAAACAGAGGAGAAAGAGUGAGAGAAACUUUCCCCUUGCACCCUAGCCGUCACCGUCCCAAGCCCUACCACCGUCGACGUGUUCGCGCAAGAGAGAGGAGGAGUUUGCGAGCGAGAGGGAGAGAGGAAGGGUUACGCGUGGGAGAAGAGGAGAGAAACCAGAACCUUGCUCUUCAAUUUCAUCUUUUCUUCAAGCCUAAGGACAAAGAUGGUCGUGAAGAUAAUGGCGAUGACACAUUCUUGGGAGUUGAUGCUACGUGACGUGUCAAUACCGGAGGACGACUACACUUUAGAGGAAGAGGAAGAGGCUAAGGAAUAGGGUUUGGGUUGAGAGUCUUUUGUUUUCUGUUGGGGUUGAGAGUUUCCGAAGUGUUGGUAUCGAACAAUUUUAUUGCUUAAAUUCGAAUGAACAAGUUUUGAUGUAA